UAAUCAUUGAAAAUGGGUCCAACAAAAACAUAAGCAUCAGCAGACUCCACAAUCUCACCGCAGAAGGUGGUGCUCACAGCACCCCAAUAAGUCCCAAUGAAAUGCGGGUGGUGCUCGGGCACCAAACCCUUAGCAGAGGGCAUAACAGUGAUCGGGUACCCGCUAGCAUCUGCAAACUCCAUAAAGGCCUGCUGUGCCUUGGCUACUCUCAACUUGGGCCCUCCGACAAUCACGGGUUUCACAGCCUUGUUGAGAAAAGCAGCGGUGGCUUCAACUGCUGCCUCCAAACCACAUUGGUUGCUUACUUUCGGAGCAAGGAAGAAGGGGACCGGGUCUCUGGCAAAUGUGGGAUGAGGAAUUGCAGGCAGGUUGCAGCCUAGGUUGAUGUAUACAGGCU
Molecule: long non-coding RNA, 397 nt
Filed under: Malus domestica (apple)
Lineage: Eukaryota; Viridiplantae; Streptophyta; Magnoliopsida; Rosales; Rosaceae
Description: long non-coding RNA (MDOM_LNC009702)
Source: RNAcentral